CCUGCAGCACAGGGCCCAUCCAGCGAUGGUGCGUUUCUUUCUUAUACUUUCUUUUCUAUUUAAUUUGAUUGGGAUGAAAUUUAUUGGUCUUUCUCCUAAUAUAGAUUUCUGGGUUGACUGCUGUUCUUGUUGCAGGCAAGGCUAUUGAUCAAGGAAUUGCUUACAUCCUGCUGCUAGUGGCUCUUGCAGUCACCUACCUCUUCCACUGAUUUCUUUUAUACAUUUAUUCAUUUUUCCUUUAAAAUUCUUCAUGCGUUUUCUCCCCCCACAUUUACUUGGAGAAAUUGCAGCCAUUUUGUAUCUAUUAUAAAUUCUUGUAAUUUAUAGAAAAAAAAUAAAGAUUAUUAUUUUUUUCUCUAGCCCAAA
This 366-nucleotide unclassified non-coding RNA is filed under the name Hevea brasiliensis (rubber tree). Lineage: Eukaryota; Viridiplantae; Streptophyta; Magnoliopsida; Malpighiales; Euphorbiaceae. The record is from RNAcentral.